UGCCAGCCGCCGCGGUAAUACGGAGGGUGCAAGCAUUAAUCGGAUUUAUUGGGCGUAAAGAGCGUGUAGGCUGAGAUGAAAGUCAGAUGUGAAAUCCCGGAGCUCAACCCCGGACGUGCAUUUGAAACAGUAAGACUUGAGUACGGGAGAGGAAAGCGGAAUUCCUGGUGUAGAGGUGAAAUUCGUAGAUAUCAGGAGGAACACCGGUGGCGAAGGCGGCUUUCUGGACCGAUACUGACGCUGAGGUGCGAAGGCGUGGGGAGCGAACGGGAUUAGAUA
This 279-nucleotide ribosomal RNA is filed under the name uncultured bacterium. RNAcentral describes it as "partial 16S ribosomal RNA". It matches the Rfam family "Bacterial small subunit ribosomal RNA", at positions 506 to 784 of the family's 1533-position model. The record is from RNAcentral.